This 550-nucleotide ribosomal RNA is filed under the name Streptomyces siamensis. RNAcentral describes it as "bacterial SSU rRNA". It matches the Rfam family "Bacterial small subunit ribosomal RNA", at positions 86 to 650 of the family's 1533-position model. Lineage: Bacteria; Bacillati; Actinomycetota; Actinomycetes; Kitasatosporales; Streptomycetaceae. The record is from RNAcentral. RNAcentral also lists the same sequence under 1 other name.
GGUGGAUUAGUGGCGAACGGGUGAGUAACACGUGGGCAAUCUGCCCUUCACUCUGGGACAAGCCCUGGAAACGGGGUCUAAUACCGGAUAACACUCCUGCCUGCAUGGGUGGGGGUUAAAAGCUCCGGCGGUGAAGGAUGAGCCCGCGGCCUAUCAGCUUGUUGGUGAGGUAGUGGCUCACCAAGGCGACGACGGGUAGCCGGCCUGAGAGGGCGACCGGCCACACUGGGACUGAGACACGGCCCAGACUCCUACGGGAGGCAGCAGUGGGGAAUAUUGCACAAUGGGCGAAAGCCUGAUGCAGCGACGCCGCGUGAGGGAUGACGGCCUUCGGGUUGUAAACCUCUUUCAGCAGGGAAGAAGCGAAAGUGACGGUACCUGCAGAAGAAGCGCCGGCUAACUACGUGCCAGCAGCCGCGGUAAUACGUAGGGCGCAAGCGUUGUCCGGAAUUAUUGGGCGUAAAGAGCUCGUAGGCGGCUUGUCACGUCGGUUGUGAAAGCCCGGGGCUUAACCCCGGGUCUGCAGUCGAUACGGGCAGGCUAGAGUGUG